RNAcentral lists this ribosomal RNA (512 nucleotides) under uncultured bacterium. RNAcentral's name for it is "bacterial SSU rRNA". It matches the Rfam family "Bacterial small subunit ribosomal RNA", at positions 791 to 1314 of the family's 1533-position model. The record is from RNAcentral.
UAGUCCACGCCGUAAACGAUGAUCACUAGAUAUUGGCUUCGGUCAGUGUCCAAGCGAAAGUGUUAAGUGAUCCACCUGGGGAGUACGCCGGCAACGGUGAAACUCAAAGGAAUUGACGGGGGCCCGCACAAGCGGUGGAGCAUGUGGUUUAAUUCGAUGAUACGCGAGGAACCUUACCAGGGCUUAAAUGCAGAACGACCGGUCUGGAAACAGACCUUUCUUCGGACGGACUGCAAGGUGCUGCAUGGUUGUCGUCAGCUCGUGUCGUGAGAUGUUGGGUUAAGUCCCGCAACGAGCGCAACCCUUGUCUUUAGUUGCCAUCAUUAAGUUGGGCACUUUAAAGAGACUGCCGGUGACAAACCGGAGGAAGGUAAGGAUGACGUCAAGUCAGCAUGCCCCUUAUGCUCUGGGCUACACACGUGCUACAAUGGCCGUGACAAAGAGUUGCUACUUUGUGAAAACAAGCUAAUCUCAUAAACGCGGCCUCAGUUCGGAUUGCAGGCUGAAACUCG